Molecule: ribosomal RNA, 611 nt
Filed under: uncultured Acidobacteriota bacterium
Lineage: Bacteria; Pseudomonadati; Acidobacteriota
Description: bacterial SSU rRNA
Rfam family: Bacterial small subunit ribosomal RNA
Source: RNAcentral
AGAGUUUGAUCCUGGCUCAGAAUCAACGCUGGCGGCGUGCCUAACACAUGCAAGUCGAGCGAGAAAGUGGAGCAAUCCAUGAGUACAGCGGCGCACGGGUGAGUAACACGUGACUAACCUACCCUCGAGUGGGGAAUAACUUCGGGAAACCGAGGCUAAUACCGCAUAAUACCCACGGGUCAAAAGAGCAAUCUGCUUGAGGAGGGGGUCGCGGCCGAUUAGUUAGUUGGCGGGGUAAUGGCCCACCAAGACGAUGAUCGGUAUCCGGCCUGAGAGGGCGCACGGACACACUGGAACUGAAACACGGUCCAGACUCCUACGGGAGGCAGCAGUGGGGAAUUUUGCGCAAUGGGGGAAACCCUGACGCAGCAACGCCGCGUGGAGGAUGAAGUCCUUCGGGACGUAAACUCCUUUCGAUCGGGACGAUGAUGACGGUACCGAGAGAAGAAGCCCCGGUUAACUUCGUGCCAGCAGCCGCGGUAAUACGAGGGGGGCGAGCGUUGUUCGGAAUUAUUGGGCGUAAAGGGUGCGUAGGCGGUUUGGUAAGUCUUAUGUGAAAUCUAUGGGCUCAACUCAUAGUCUGCAUGANAAACUGCCGGGCUUGAGUGUGG